UACGUAGGGGGCAAGCGUUGUCCGGAUUUAUUGGGCGUAAAGCGCACGCAGGCGGUGCGGUAAGUUUCGAGUGACAGGUGGUGGCUUAACUGCCACAGGACUCGGAAAACUGCUGCACUUGAGGGCUUGAGAGGGACGCGGAAUUCCAGGUGGAGCGGUGAAAUGCGUAGAUAUCAGGAGGAACACCGGUGGCGAAGGCGGCUACCUGGCCUAAGACUGACGCUGAGGUGCGAAAGCGUGGGGAGCGAACAGG
RNAcentral lists this ribosomal RNA (253 nucleotides) under uncultured bacterium. RNAcentral's name for it is "partial 16S ribosomal RNA". It matches the Rfam family "Bacterial small subunit ribosomal RNA", at positions 524 to 776 of the family's 1533-position model. The record is from RNAcentral.